Molecule: ribosomal RNA, 406 nt
Filed under: uncultured bacterium
Lineage: Bacteria
Description: partial 16S ribosomal RNA
Rfam family: Bacterial small subunit ribosomal RNA
Source: RNAcentral
AUUGAACGCUGGCGGCAGGCUUAACACAUGCAAGUCGAGCGAGCGGCGGACGGGUGAGUAAUGUCUGGGAAACUGCCUGAUGGAGGGGGAUGACUACUGGAAACGGUAGCUAAUACCGCAUACCAUCAGAUGUGCCCAGAUGGGAUUAGCUAGUAGGUGGGGUAAUGGCUCACCUAGGCGACGAUCCCUAGCUGGUCUGAGAGGAUGACCAGCCACACUGAAACAGAGACACAGUCCAGACUCCUACGGAGGGCAGCAGUGGAGAAUGUUGCACAAUAGGCGCAAGCCUGAUGCAGCCAGGCCGCGUGUGUGAGGAAAGCCUUCGGGUUGUAAAGCAAUUUCAGCGAGGAGGCGUUACGCGCAGAAGAAGCGCCGGCUAACUCCGUGCCAGCAGCCGCGGUAAUUC